GCCAUAAAGAAAGUCCAUACAAUUUGUUUACUUAAUUAUGCUAAUUCUGCAAUCAUCUUCUUCCAACCUAAGUAUAUAAACAUCUGUUUCACGCUUCUAUCAACUAAACCUAAUUUUUCUCAUAUCUUUGAAACUAAACUUAGCCGCCAUUCUUCCUAAUCAUUAUGAGAUAAUACUCUUUAUCAUUCCAUUCCAAAUCGUCUCAAGCCGCGUCGUUUUUGGAUCCGUUUCGUUCUAGUUGUACUAGACUCUCACCUCUACAAUUCCCAUCUUCGUUCUCGCCAAACGACCCGUCCACUGCUCGUGUUUCGGAGUCUACGCAGGGUUAGCUGGUUGCCAAAAAUCACGUGGAUAAGCAAGCAGUUUAUGAUUUGAAAGCUGGUCCACUCCGAUCCUUUUAUUCUUCGGAGGUUUAUUUUAUUUUAAAUAAAUUGUCAAACUGAUUUUUAUUCUUAGACCGCAGUAGUAAACUAGAAGUCCAUAUUAUAUUAGAUGUUUGUCAGAUUGGUCUG
Mercurialis annua (annual mercury) is the source of this 512-nucleotide long non-coding RNA. RefSeq lists it as uncharacterized. The record is from RefSeq and is a predicted model, not a curated record. Lineage: Eukaryota; Viridiplantae; Streptophyta; Magnoliopsida; Malpighiales; Euphorbiaceae. The transcript has 4 exons.